GCCUCGGUAGCUCAAUGGUAGAGCGCCUGCCUGUUAAGCAGGAUGCUGGAGGUUCGAGCCCUCCCCGGGGCG
Molecule: transfer RNA, 72 nt
Filed under: Microcaldota archaeon
Lineage: Archaea; Nanobdellati; Microcaldota
Also listed under: 1 other name
Description: tRNA-Asn
Rfam family: tRNA
About the family: Transfer RNA (tRNA) molecules are approximately 80 nucleotides in length. Their secondary structure includes four short double-helical elements and three loops (D, anti-codon, and T loops).
Source: RNAcentral